UGACGAGUUUGAUCCUGGCUCAGAACGAACGCUGGCGGCAGGCUUAACACAUGCAAGUCGAACGCUCCGCAAGGAGAGUGGCAGACGGGUGAGUAACACGUGGGAACGUACCCUUUACUACGGAACAACUCCGGGAAACUGGAGCUAAUACCGUAUGUGCCCUUCGGGGGAAAGAUUUAUCGGUAAAGGAUCGGCCCGCGUUGGAUUAGCUAGUUGGUGGGUAAAGGCCUACCAAGGCGACGAUCCAUAGCUGGUCUGAGAGGAUGAUCAGCCACAUUGGGGACUGAGACACGGCCCAAACUCCUACGGGAGGCAGCAGUGGGGAAUAUUGGACAAUGGGCGCAAGCCUGAUCCAGCAAUACCGCGUGUGGGAUGAAGGCCUUCGGGGGUCGUAAACCGCUUUUUUCGGGGGACGAUAAUGACGGUUACCGCAGAAGAACGCCCCGGCUAACUCCGUGCCAGCAGCCGCGGUAAUCUGAUGGC
RNAcentral lists this ribosomal RNA (483 nucleotides) under uncultured Pseudomonadota bacterium. Its description in RNAcentral is "bacterial SSU rRNA". It matches the Rfam family "Bacterial small subunit ribosomal RNA", at positions 1 to 532 of the family's 1533-position model. The record is from RNAcentral. Lineage: Bacteria; Pseudomonadati; Pseudomonadota.